UACGGAGGGGGCUAGCGUUGUUCGGAAUUACUGGGCGUAAAGCGCGCGUAGGCGGACCUGCAAGUCGGGGGUGAAAGCCUGAGGCUCAACCUCGGAACUGCCUUCGAUACUGCGGGUCUCGAGUCCGGGAGAGGUGAGUGGAAUUCCUAGUGUAGAGGUGAAAUUCGUAGAUAUUAGGAAGAACACCAGUGGCGAAGGCGGCUCACUGGCCCGGUACUGACGCUGAGGCGCGAAAGCGUGGGGAGCAAACAGG
This 253-nucleotide ribosomal RNA is filed under the name uncultured bacterium. Its description in RNAcentral is "partial 16S ribosomal RNA". It matches the Rfam family "Bacterial small subunit ribosomal RNA", at positions 524 to 776 of the family's 1533-position model. The record is from RNAcentral.